AUUGAACGCUGGCGGCAGGCCUAACACAUGCAAGUCGAACGGUAACAGGAAGAAGCUUGCUUCUUUGCUGACGAGUGGCGGACGGGUGAGUAAUGUCUGGGAAACUGCCUGAUGGAGGGGGAUAACUACUGGAAACGGUAGCUAAUACCGCAUAACGUCGCAAGACCAAAGAGGGGGACCUUCGGGCCUCUUGCCAUCGGAUGUGCCCAGAUGGGAUUAGCUAGUAGGUGGGGUAACGGCUCACCUAGGCGACGAUCCCUAGCUGGUCUGAGAGGAUGACCAGCCACACCGGAACUGAGACACGAUCCAGACUCCUACGGGAGGCAGCAGUGGGGAAUAUUGCACAAUGGGCGCAAGCCUGAUGCAGCCAUGCCGCGUGUAUGAAGAAGGCCUUCGGGUUGUAAAGUACUUUCAGCGGGGAGGAAGGGAGUAAAGUUAAUACCUUUGCUCAUUGACGUUACCCGCAGAAGAAGCACCGGCUAACUCCGUG
RNAcentral lists this ribosomal RNA (490 nucleotides) under uncultured bacterium. RNAcentral describes it as "partial 16S ribosomal RNA". It matches the Rfam family "Bacterial small subunit ribosomal RNA", at positions 30 to 507 of the family's 1533-position model. The record is from RNAcentral.